This 497-nucleotide ribosomal RNA is filed under the name uncultured bacterium. RNAcentral describes it as "partial 16S ribosomal RNA". It matches the Rfam family "Bacterial small subunit ribosomal RNA", at positions 28 to 507 of the family's 1533-position model. The record is from RNAcentral.
GAUGAACGCUGGCGGCGUGCCUAAUACAUGCAAGUCGAGCGAACAGACGAGGAUUUUGCUCCUCUGACGUUAGCGGCGGACGGGUGAGUAACACGUGGAUAACCUACCUAUAAGACUUGGAUAACUUCGGGAAACCGGAGCUAAUACCGGAUAAUAUAUUGAACCGCAUGGUUUUAUAGUGAAAGACGGUUUUUCUGUCACUUAUAGAUGGAUCCGCGCCGUAUUAGCUAGUUGGUAAGGUAACGGCUUACCAAGGCGACGAUGGGUAGCCGACCUGAGAGAGGGGUCGGCCGCACUGGAAGGGGACCGCGGACCAGAGUCCUACGAGAGGCAGCAGAAACGAAUCUGACGCAGCAGGGGAGAGUCUUGCGGAACGACGCCGAGUGUGUGAUGAAGGUGUUCGGAUCGUAAUAAUCUGUUACUAGUGAUGAACAAAUGUGUGAGUAGCUGAACACGUAUUGACGGUACCUGAUCAGGAAGCCACGGCUAACUACGUG